Molecule: long non-coding RNA, 554 nt
Organism: Chenopodium quinoa (quinoa)
Lineage: Eukaryota; Viridiplantae; Streptophyta; Magnoliopsida; Caryophyllales; Amaranthaceae
Exons: 3
Source: RefSeq, a predicted model, not a curated record
UGGAGUACGUGAUUUGCCAAUUAAAAUCAAAAUGAAAAGCUUUCAUUUUCUCCUACACAAAAUUAGCGAAAACUCAAAUCUGGCAUAUAGCACUAUAGCAGUAAUAGCACUGCUCAUUUACUAACAUCCUCCCAUUUUUCCAUUUUCCAUUUUCCAUUGACGUGUACUUUGAAUCCUCCAUUGAUACGACUUCUGCGCUUUCUCUCCAUUGAAGCAGCUUCUGAAUGAAGUUCCUGGAUUGGUAUGUGAAGAUUGCAGUGGGUUCUGCUAUGAUUGGAGCUUCCAUGGAGUAUUUCAUGAUUAAAACUGGAUUCUAUGACAAGGUAACAGUUCUGGAAUCAGAAAAGCGGGCUUGGGAGAAUUCACCAGAAGCUCAGGCUGCUAGAGAGGCUCUAAAUCCUUGGAGACAUAUUGAUGCCAAAGAAAAUAAAAAUUAAUAACUUGUUUGUAGGUUACCGUUUGAUUUACACAAUAUGGUGUUAUGUAUUUGUUUGAUGACUUAUUAUUGUCAAACACAAAUUCAUUAUGAAAGUACUGAUUUUAUUUGACGUCUC